AACGAACGCUGGCGGCGUGGAUAAGACAUGCAAGUCGAACGAGGAACAUGAAUAGCUUGCUAAUUGUGUUCCUAGUGGCGGACGGGUGCGUAACACGUGAGCAACCUGCCCUGAAGUGGGGGAUAGCCCUCCGAAAGGAGGAUUAAUACCGCAUGUGGUCUCCGGACCAAAGAUGGCUUCGGCUGUCGCUUCAGGAUGGGCUCGCGGCCUAUCAGCUUGUUGGUGAGGUAACGGCUCACCAAGGCAACGACGGGUAGCUGGUCUGAGAGGACGAUCAGCCACACUGGAACU
This 291-nucleotide ribosomal RNA is filed under the name uncultured bacterium. Its description in RNAcentral is "partial 16S ribosomal RNA". It matches the Rfam family "Bacterial small subunit ribosomal RNA", at positions 29 to 320 of the family's 1533-position model. The record is from RNAcentral.